RNAcentral lists this long non-coding RNA (213 nucleotides) under Phoenix dactylifera (date palm). Its description in RNAcentral is "long non-coding RNA (PDAC_LNC008709)". The record is from RNAcentral. Lineage: Eukaryota; Viridiplantae; Streptophyta; Magnoliopsida; Arecales; Arecaceae.
GCUCAGUACCCUUGUUCUUUAACAAGCACUUGCACUAUUACUUCAGUGUCGCCACACUGUGGACUCGAGUCUCGUCCAUCCACAAGAAAAGCAAUGUGUGCACUGAUCUUAUCGGAUCGAUCACCGUCCUCAUGAUGAUCCAUCGAUCAGGAGCAUUUAGAAAUUAAUCACCAAUGAUACAUGGCUCAAAUUCUCAACUCUUGAGAAUAUGCA